CGAGUUGUAAUUUGUAGAGGAUGCUUCGGGUGCAGGGACCGGUGUAAGUCCUUUGGAACAGGGCGUCAUAGAGGGUGAGAAUCCCGUAUGUGAUCGGCGACCAAGCCCAUGUGAAGCUCCUUCGACGAGUCGAGUUGUUUGGGAAUGCAGCUCAAAAUGGGUGGUAAAUUUCAUCUAAAGCUAAAUACCGGCCAGAGACCGAUAGCGCACAAGUAGAGUGAUCGAAAGAUGAAAGGGACUUUGGAAAGAGAGUGAAAAAGUACGUGAAAUUGUUGAAAGGGAAGCGCUUGCAACCAGACCUGUUUUCGGGUGUUCAGCGGGCGUUCUCGCCCAUGUACUCGCCCGUAUCAGGCCAGCAUCGGUUCUGGCGGCCGGAUAAAGGCUUGAGGAAUGUAGCUUCGCUUCGGGGAAGCGUUAGAGCCUCUUGCGCAAUACGGCCAGCUGCGACCGAGGAUCGCGCUUCGGCUAGGAUGCUGGCGUAAUGGUUGUAAGCGACCCGUCUUGAAACACGGACCAAGGAGUCUAACAUCUAUGCGAGUGUUUGGGUGUUAAACCCAUGCGCGUAAUGAAAGUGAACGGAGGUGGGAACCCUUCAGGGUGCACCAUCGACCGAUCUGGAAGUUUACGGACGGAUUUGAGUAUGAGCAUAGCUGUUGGGACCCGAA
Molecule: ribosomal RNA, 665 nt
Filed under: Pseudolepraria stephaniana
Lineage: Eukaryota; Fungi; Ascomycota; Lecanoromycetes; Lecanorales; Ramalinaceae
Description: partial large subunit ribosomal RNA
Rfam family: Eukaryotic large subunit ribosomal RNA
Source: RNAcentral